CGGAAACCGGAGCUAAUACCGGAUAAUAUAUUGAACCGCAUGGUUCAAUAGUGAAAGACGGUUUUGCUGUCACUUAUAGAUGGAUCCGCGCCGCAUUAGCUAGUUGGUAAGGUAACGGCUUACCAAGGCAACGAUGCGUAGCCGACCUGAGAGGGUGAUCGGCCACACUGGAACUGAGACACGGUCCAGACUCCUACGGGAGGCAGCAGCU
Molecule: ribosomal RNA, 211 nt
Filed under: uncultured Staphylococcus sp.
Lineage: Bacteria; Bacillati; Bacillota; Bacilli; Caryophanales; Staphylococcaceae
Description: partial 16S ribosomal RNA
Rfam family: Bacterial small subunit ribosomal RNA
Source: RNAcentral